GCCUAGCGUCUCAGACGUCCUGGGCUCGUCUACUCCUUGGCCUCUUCGUCACUUGGGGGACAGAGGGUCCAGCCCGAGGCCCUCAGUCCCUCUGAGCUGGCUCCUGUGAUAGCUUUGGCUAGGUCAGACAGACUCACCGACAAGCUCCGAGAGCACAGGCCUUUGGGUGGAGCUGAGCAGAGGGCCAGCCACCAUGAAUCCAUCCAGCUCUGACUCAGGGGUGACGCUGUUUGCCAGCUGUGGAGGUGCAGAGGAGAGAAUCCAGGCCCAGAGGGGUCACCUGGACCAAGACUUGGAGGAUACUGAGUUGGCCACGUGCCCUAGACCGACUCCCCAGAGCCCUGAAGACAUUAUAUUACCACCCCUCUCUGCUGUCACCAGCUCAAACUGAGAAACGGCCCUAAACCAUGAUGCUGAAGUUAAAAUAAUUCCUUUGGAGAUUUGCUGGUUGCACAAUCUUAGAUCAACAGUCUCCCAUCUGCUCUGGGCCUGCGGGUCUGUUGGUGCCCCAAGUGCCAGGCCAACUUGCUAGUCUCAGCGGGACCCUCGGUCAGAGGAGACCUGACGCCAGGUUCCGUCCUUUGCCUGGGACCCUUGACAAGGGCCACGCGAUUCUCAGCAAUGGGGUGUCCUUCCCUGUCCAUACAUCAACAGUUUCCCACACAGCGGAGCCUGCCUCGGGAUCGAGAGGGGCCUGUGGAAAUGCAGGCUGCGGGCCCCCACGCAGGAGUUCUGACUGGAGGGCGUGGAGCUGCCCCGCUCCAUGGAGCCAGCACGGACUUCACGCUCUGAGCUCGCAGGCCGGGCCCAGAGGUGAAGAGCCUGCAGGUGGGGAGACAG
Molecule: long non-coding RNA, 840 nt
Organism: Phyllostomus discolor (pale spear-nosed bat)
Lineage: Eukaryota; Metazoa; Chordata; Mammalia; Chiroptera; Phyllostomidae
Exons: 5
Source: RefSeq, a predicted model, not a curated record